GAGCUCUUGCCGGCGCUCUGGCCGCCCACCACGGCGAUCUGUGGCAGCUCCAGCAGACAGCUCUGUCCCAGAGCCGAGAAAGCGUCCUGCAGACGGUUCACCAGAGGGAUCAGUUCUUCCAUCUCCCGGUUCCCCAUCUUGCCUGUGCGGCCAACUGCCCCACAGGUCCCUGCGCGACUCAGCGACCUGGCAGGCAGCCCGGGCCUCGCAGCACUUGUCCGGUUUGUUGAUGCGCGGGGCUCACACCGCUGAGUCCCGGCACCGUCGUCCGAUCCCUGCCACCCGCUGCUAGGCUCCUGACAGCUCACAGCCCACAGCGCGCUUGCGCAGCCGAGAAAGGCGAAGGAGGCGUGGCCUGGGCCUGAGACGGUCACGCCCACACCACGCCCCUCGCCUGCUCCUCCCUAGAGUUUCCAAGCCUACUGGCUUAGGGGGGCGCAUAUGCACUGCCUCCCAGCUUGGCCAGAUGCCACCGCCCAGGCUAAAGGGCAGAGUACUGCACUUGGUCAAGGAAUAGCCAAAAUCACACCCAACAGGGACUCUGUCCCUUUUGAAGGAGCUACACCACACAGACGAAGCCCAGCGGAAAGCACUACCGUCUACCAUCAGUUAACAGCACGUUGACAUCAGCUUCACCAUGCACCACUGCCAUCGUUAUUAUUCUGCAGUAAUGUGGUGGCAAGAGAAUCUUAACCCACACAGAAAUAGCCAAAUCCUUCAGAGGUAAAGAUGUCUACUCAUAAGUUAAUCCAGGCAAAACACAUAGGAAACAGGAAGAUGAAAUGGAAAAGCAGAUGGGACAAUGCCACAGAAAACCAGCGUCUACCUUUCCAAUCUACAUGACAGCUGAGGAGGGGAGUCUGCUCAGUGUCCAGUUCCUUGAACAUAUCAUGCAGUCACCUCAACCCUGCCCCAAUCCCAGUGACAGAUGCUUCUCGGGCUAGUAAGAAGGUAUGGACUCCCUACCCCAUGUUCCUCAUCUACUGCCAGACAUCAAAAUAACUGUGAAGGAACCCCUCCAGGCUCCUGCUACAAUGGCUUCUGUUUAUUUGAGAUCUGACAGAUGGAUACUCACCAGAAGUCUCCUCAAAACAUGGUCAAAUUGACACGUAUGCAGAGCAGAGAACAGUGGUGGGCAAGCUUAAAGCACCGAGAAAGCAAGGUCAGGAAGAACAGUCUGUGUCUCACAUGUGUGAUUUAGCACACUGUCCAUGUUUCCUUCUGCCAAGCAGGUCUCCCUGUGUUGAUCUGGAAUCACCGAGGACUACUUUGAAAGGAAAGCUGUUCCGUGCUUUAAAUCUCACUUGUUGAGUUAUAUCUUCACAAUUUACAAUUGAAUUGUUGAAUUGACCUCCUUAUAAAUACUAUAUAUGGAGGGGGGGGUCUGUAUCUGUGACUGUUUGAAGCUAUAAAAUUAUAUUAAAAUUUAUACUAAAAUUUA
This is a non-coding RNA of Rattus norvegicus (Norway rat), 1441 nucleotides long. Lineage: Eukaryota; Metazoa; Chordata; Mammalia; Rodentia; Muridae. The record is from RefSeq and is a predicted model, not a curated record.